RNAcentral lists this ribosomal RNA (439 nucleotides) under uncultured bacterium. RNAcentral describes it as "partial 16S ribosomal RNA". It matches the Rfam family "Bacterial small subunit ribosomal RNA", at positions 338 to 795 of the family's 1533-position model. The record is from RNAcentral.
CCUACGGGAGGCAGCAGUGGGGAAUAUUGCACAAUGGGCGAAAGCCUGAUGCAGCAACGCCGCGUGAGCGAUGAAGGCCUUCGGGUCGUAAAGCUCUGUCCUCAAGGAAGAAAAUGACGGUACGUGAGGAGGAAGCCCCGGCUAACUACGUGCCAGCAGCCGCGGUAAUACGUAGGGGGCUAGCUUUAUCCGGAAUUACUGGGCGUAAGGGGGGCGUAGGUGGUUUCUUAAGUCAGAGGUGAAAGGCUACGGCUCAACCGUAGUAAGCCUUUGAAACUGGGGAACUUGAGUGCAGGAGAGGAGAGUGGACUUCCUAGUGUAGCGGUGAAAUUCGUAGAUAUUAGGAGGAACACCAGUUGCGACGGCGGCUCUCUGGACUGUAACUGACACUGAGGCACGAAAGCGUGGGGAGCAAACAGGAUUAGAUACCCCAGUAGUC